GUAGGGUGCGAGCGUUAAUCGGAAUUACUGGGCGUAAAGCGUGCGCAGGCGGUUUCGUAAGACAGACGUGAAAUCCCCGGGCUCAACCUGGGAACUGCGUUUGUGACUGCGAGGCUAGAGUAUGGCAGAGGGGGGUGGAAUUCCACGUGUAGCAGUGAAAUGCGUAGAGAUGUGGAGGAACACCGAUGGCGAAGGCAGCCCCCUGGGCCAAUACUGACGCUCAUGCACGAAAGCGUGGGGAGCAAACAGGAUUAGAUACCCUGGUAGUCCACGCCCUAAACGAUGUCGACUAGUUGUUGGUGGGGUUAAACCCAUUAGUAACGUAGCUAACGCGUGAAGUCGACCGCCUGGGGAGUACGGCCGCAAGGUUAAA
Molecule: ribosomal RNA, 373 nt
Filed under: uncultured bacterium
Lineage: Bacteria
Description: bacterial SSU rRNA
Rfam family: Bacterial small subunit ribosomal RNA
Source: RNAcentral